UACGUAGGGCGCAAGCCUUAUCCGGAAUUAUUGGGCGUAAAGAGCUCGUAGGCGGUUUGUCGCGUCUGCCGUGAAAGUCCGGGGCUCAACUCCGGAUCUGCGGUGGGUACGGGCAGACUAGAGUGAUGUAGGGGAGACUGGAAUUCCUGGUGUAGCGGUGAAAUGCGCAGAUAUCAGGAGGAACACCGAUGGCGAAGGCAGGUCUCUGGGCAUUAACUGACGCUGAGGAGCGAAAGCAUGGGGAGCGAACAGG
RNAcentral lists this ribosomal RNA (253 nucleotides) under uncultured bacterium. Its description in RNAcentral is "partial 16S ribosomal RNA". It matches the Rfam family "Bacterial small subunit ribosomal RNA", at positions 524 to 776 of the family's 1533-position model. The record is from RNAcentral.